RNAcentral lists this ribosomal RNA (462 nucleotides) under Favorinus branchialis. Its description in RNAcentral is "partial 16S ribosomal RNA". It matches the Rfam family "Archaeal large subunit ribosomal RNA", at positions 1903 to 2685 of the family's 2987-position model. Lineage: Eukaryota; Metazoa; Mollusca; Gastropoda; Nudibranchia; Facelinidae. The record is from RNAcentral.
AAACAUAGCCAGUAGAUGAUAUUGUUGGUUUAACCUGCCCAAUGUGAAUUAAUAUGAAUGGCCGCGGUACUCUGACCGUGCUAAGGUAGCGUAAUCAGUUGGCUUUUAAAUGGAGUCAGGAAUGAAUGGGAAAACCUGGUCUAGCUGUCUCAAAGUUACUAUAUUGAAUUUACUGUCCAAGUGAAAAAGCUUGGGUGAGAAAAAGGGACGAGAAGACCCUUAGAAUUUGUUUUUAAAAAGUUUAAUCAACUUUGUGAUUUUGUUGGGGCGACAUGGAAAUAGUUAAAACUUUCCUAUAAAACAUGCCGAUUAUAUUAAGUAAGGAUAAAUUACCUGAGGGAUAACAGCAUAAUUCUACUAUUGAGUUUGUGACCUCGAUGUUGGACUAGGAAACUAGCAGGCCAGCCGUUUGCUGUGUGGGUUCUGUUCGAACUUUAAUUCCUACGUGAUCUGAGUUCAGAC